This 216-nucleotide ribosomal RNA is filed under the name Glomeromycotina sp. RNAcentral describes it as "partial small subunit ribosomal RNA". The stretch from base 40 to 216 matches the Rfam family "Eukaryotic small subunit ribosomal RNA", at positions 686 to 864 of the family's 1831-position model. The record is from RNAcentral. Lineage: Eukaryota; Fungi; Glomeromycota.
GGGUCAUUAGGUUGGUCGUGCCACCGGUACGUACUGGUCUCACUGAUUCCUACUUCCUGAAGAACCGUAAUGCCAUUAAUUUGGUGUUGCUGGGAAACAGGACUGUUACUUUGAAAAAAUUAGAGUGUUUAAAGCAAGCUAACGUUUGAAUACAUUAGCAUGGAAUAAUGAAAUAGGACGAUCGAUCCUAUUUUGUUGGUUUCUAGGAUUGACGUA